UUAUGCUACCAGGGGUGCUGUGUUACAAUAUUUGGGUUUUUAAGUCUUUCUGAAUUCUUAGUGUUUAAUUUCUUUUGAAUCUCCAUAGCUGUUUGCUGUUCUGACUUCUCUAGAGAUCAAGGUUUCUGAGGAUUGCUGCUUCAGCUUCUGCCUGCUGCCCCCAAGCCCUGUACCUCUUUUCAGAGACUGGAGAUGUCGGAAGGAUGAUUCAGUGACUGUGCUGCACAGGGUACACAGUAAAACUUUCAGUGGGCUGGGCUUCUCUUUCUCCAUCACAAUUACAUCUGAUGAGAGUGGCAUGAAGGAAAGACAUCCAUGGCACAAUUUAGGUAAAGACCAGCCUACCCUGGAGGGGGGAACAUGAAACCUUCAUGUACCCUGGGGUGCAAAUAACUUGGUCUUGGCCAUAAAAAAGAUGACAAUGACCAAUAUUUCCAAGAUCCCAAGCCUAGAAGAAAGAAUACACUCAGCUGUGGUCACAGGUAUCCUGCAGGACCUGACCUCUUUGAAGACCAAAGGCAAUUGGGAAAAUAGCAUGUAAAACUAUAAGAGAUUUUAGUGAUCAUCUAAUUUGGGCCCCUCAUUCACAGAAGAAGAAACUGAGGCCUAGAGGAGGAAGUGAUCUACUUAAAAUGACACCAGACUCUUCUAUAAAUUAGAAACCCCCUCAGCUUUCCCUUUCCUCCAUUCUCCUUGGCUUUUAUAAACAAAACUAUGCCAGGUACCUUUUGGGGACUCUGGUAAAGUCUAUCGAGUCUUUCUUAAAAUAAUGUUUUUAAAUGAAUAAAAUAAAAUAUGUUGACUUAAAAAGAAAAGCAAUUAUAUUGAGAUACAAUUAUCAAAAUGUUAAAAAAAUUUUGUGACCCCAAGUUAAAAUUCACAAUUUAAAUAACAGCUGAUAUUUCUAUAGUACUUUAAAAGCAUUUUAACUAGAGGCAGUCAAAUAGCACAGGGGAUAGAGCACCAGAUCUGAAAUCAGUAGACAUGGGUUCAAAUUUGGCUUCAAACUCUUCCUAGUUGUAUUUCCCUGUGCAAGUCACCUGUUUGCUUAGCCCUUAUUCUUUUGUCUUAGAGUUGUUCCUAAGAUAAAAAGUAAGGGUUUAAAAUAAAAAAAAAUUAAUUAGAGUCUCACAACAAAUGUGUGGGUAGGUAAUGAAACUGUUAUUAUUUCCACUUACAGACUUUAGAAAGGUUGAGUGGCUUGCCUUAUAAUAGCAAGUGUCAAAAGUGAGAUUCAAACCCAAAUCUUCCCGAUUUGAAAUCCAGGACUCAGUCUGUCCUAUGGUGCCUUUCUUUUUGCUCCAAAGAAUUCAUGAAUUGAUUGUGCUUUUAGUCUUCACUUAUAUUUCUUGCCAAAUCAACAGAAAAUGCAUAGAUUGUUGGUGCUGAAUAUUGAAAUGAUCAGGAAAACAGGGUCUCCAAAAGGGAAGCAAUGCUGUGAAGGAUGUGAGCUCUCCUGGUAAGAGCAGCUGUUUGGACCUGGGAAAUCACUGUUGCUGGGAGUAUGAAAGUUCAAUUCUAUCUGCCUCGGCUUUUGCCAGGUUGCUGUGCCCCUUCCUGCUUCCAACUGCAAUUAUAGAGAUGAUAAAAUGGAAAAUAAAUAUUUGUGCAAUGGAUGGGAAAAGCCAAUUAGUUUUGCACCGGUGAGAAAUAAUGCACAGCUACUCACCUCCUUUAAUAAGUUGGCUCUCCAUGUAUAUUGUAAAAUGUAUCUUUGCAGUCCUACUGUAUUUGGAAAUUUAAGUGCCACUAGAACAAAGUAUGUAUUCUGCAAGUUGUAAUAUUAGAGGGAAUAAGGCAAUAAAAUUUCUAUAUUUUAUUAGAAGAAAAAAUAAUUAAA
Monodelphis domestica (gray short-tailed opossum) is the source of this 1840-nucleotide long non-coding RNA. RefSeq lists it as uncharacterized. Lineage: Eukaryota; Metazoa; Chordata; Mammalia; Didelphimorphia; Didelphidae. The record is from RefSeq and is a predicted model, not a curated record.